CCCUUAGCUGUCCUGGGCCGCACGCGCGCUACACUGAGUGUCUGAGAUACGAGUCUGCCUGGUCCGGCAAGGUCUAGGUAAUCGCUAAAAGACACAUCAUGCUUGGGAUAGAUUAUUGCAAAUAUUAAUCUUGAACGAGGAAUUCCUAGUAAGCGCAAGUCAACAGCUUGCGUUGAUUACGUCCCUGCCCUUUGUACACACCGCCCGUCGCUACUACUGAUUGGAUGUUUAAGCGAGGUUCUCGAACUGCUAGCGACUUAGCUUCGGUGAGGUCGCAGUGUGGGAAGUGAACCUAGCUUUGGUGUCUAGAGGAAGUAAAAGUCGUAACA
Molecule: ribosomal RNA, 329 nt
Filed under: uncultured eukaryote
Lineage: Eukaryota
Description: partial 18S ribosomal RNA
Rfam family: Eukaryotic small subunit ribosomal RNA
Source: RNAcentral